Molecule: ribosomal RNA, 465 nt
Filed under: uncultured bacterium
Lineage: Bacteria
Description: partial 16S ribosomal RNA
Rfam family: Bacterial small subunit ribosomal RNA
Source: RNAcentral
CCUACGGGAGGCAGCAGUAGGGAAUUUUCGGCAAUGGGCGAAAGCCUGACCGAGCAACGCCGCGUGAACGCAGAAGGUCUUCGGAUUGUAACGUUCUGUUGUAGAGGAAGAACGGUGUACGUAGGAAAUGACGGACAAGUGACGGUAAUCUGUGAGGAAGCCACGGCUAACUACGUGCCAGUAGCCGCGGUAAUACGGAGGGGGCGAGCGUUAACCGGAAUCAUUGGGCGUAAAGAGGGAGCCGGCGGCCUGGAGGGUCUAUUUUUAAAAGGCAGUGGCUUAACCAUUGCAAGGCGAAGACACCGGCAGGCUAGAGUUCUAUAGAGGAUCGUGGAAUUCCAUGUGUAGCGGUGAAAUGCGUAGAUAUAUGGAGGAACACCAGUGGCGAAGGCGACGAUCUGGGAAGAAACAGACGCUGAGUCCCGAAAGCGUGGGGAGCAAAUAGGAUUAGAUACCCGAGUAGUC